Oncorhynchus tshawytscha (Chinook salmon) is the source of this 440-nucleotide long non-coding RNA. The record is from Ensembl. NCBI's taxonomy places the organism in Eukaryota, Metazoa, Chordata, Actinopteri, Salmoniformes, Salmonidae.
CUCCUCUCUUUCAGUUGAAGGUGAAUAGAAUAAUCCCUCUACUCCUCUUUCAGUUGAAGGAGAAUAGAACGUUCCCUCUACUUCUGUCCUUCAGUUGAAGGAGAAUAGAACGUUCCCUCUACUUCUGUCCUUCAGUUGAAGGAGAAUAGAAUGUUCCCUCUACUUCUGUCCUUCAGUUGAAGGAUAAUAGAAUGUUCCCUCUACUCCUCUUUCAGUUGAAGGAGAAUAGAAUGUUCCCUCUACUCCUCUUUCAGUUGAAGGAUAAUAGAAUGUUCCCUCUACUCCUCUUUCAGUUGAAGGAGAAUAGAAUAAUCCCUCUACUCCUCUUUCAGUUGAAGGAGAAUAGAAUGUUCCCUCCUUCAGUUGAAGGAGAAUAGAAUGUUCCCUCUACUCCUCUUUCAGUUGAAGGAGAAUAGAAUGUUCCCUCUACUCCUCUUUCA